UCCGGCCGCCAUGGCCGCGGGAUUGGAUAGAGGCCUACCAUGGUGGUAACGGGUAACGGGGUGUUAGGGCACGACACCGGAGAGGGAGCCUGAGAAACGGCUACCACAUCCAAGGAUGGCAGCAGGCGCGCAAAUUACCCAAUCCCGGCACGGGGAGGUAGUGACAAUAAAUAACAAUACGGGGUUCUUUCGGAUCUCGUAAUUGGAAUGAGUACAAUUUAAAUCUCUUAACGAGGAACAAUUGGAGGGCAAGUCUGGUGCCAGCAGCCGCGGUAAUUCCAGCUCCAAUAGCGUAUAUUAAAGUUGUUGCAGUUAAAAAGCUCGUAGUUGAAUUUCGGGGUUAGCAGGUCGGUCGUGCCAUCGGUAUGAACUGGUCUCGCUGAUCCCUCCCUCUUGACGAACUGUGAUGCCAUUAAUUUGGUGUCGCAGGGAAUCAGGACUGUUACUUUGAAAAAAUUAGAGUGUUUAAAGCAGGCUCACGCUUGAAUACAUUAGCAUGGAAUAAUGAAAUAGGACGUUUGAUCCUAUUUUGUUGGUUUCUAGGAUUGACGUAAUGAUUAAUAGGGAUAGUUGGGGGCAUUAGUAUUCAAUUGUCAGAGGUGAAAUUCUUGGAUUUAUUGAAGACUAACUACUGCGAAAGCAUUUGCCAAGGAUGUUUUCAUUAAUCAAGAACGAAAGUUAGGGGAUCGAAGACGAUCAGAUACCGUCGUAGUCUUAACCAUAAACUAUGCCGACUAGGGAUCGGAUGAUGUUAAUUUUUUAAUGACUCAUUCGGCGCCUUACGGGAAACCAAAGUGUUUGGGUUC
This 806-nucleotide ribosomal RNA is filed under the name uncultured Glomus. Its description in RNAcentral is "SSU rRNA". It matches the Rfam family "Eukaryotic small subunit ribosomal RNA", at positions 306 to 1114 of the family's 1831-position model. Lineage: Eukaryota; Fungi; Glomeromycota; Glomeromycetes; Glomerales; Glomeraceae. The record is from RNAcentral.